RNAcentral lists this ribosomal RNA (253 nucleotides) under uncultured bacterium. Its description in RNAcentral is "partial 16S ribosomal RNA". It matches the Rfam family "Bacterial small subunit ribosomal RNA", at positions 524 to 776 of the family's 1533-position model. The record is from RNAcentral.
UACGAAGGGUGCAAGCGUUACUCGGAAUUGCUGGGCGUAAAGCGUGCGUAGGUGGUGAGUUAAGUCUGUCGUGAAAGCCCCGGGCUCAACCUGGGAAUGGCGAUGGAUACUGGCUCGCUAGAGUGCGGUAGAGGAGAGUGGAAUUCCCGGUGUAGCAGUGAAAUGCGUAGAGAUCGGGAGGAACAUCAGUUGCGAAGGCGGCUCUCUGGACCAGCACUGACACUGAGGCACGAAAGCGUGGGGAGCAAACAGG